Puccinia sorghi is the source of this 88-nucleotide non-coding RNA. The record is from the annotation of a GenBank genome assembly. Lineage: Eukaryota; Fungi; Basidiomycota; Pucciniomycetes; Pucciniales; Pucciniaceae.
UCUAUGGGCCUAGUUGGUAAAGGCAGCACUUAUAGUAUAAUGUCUUAGAUUCUAGCUCAGGUUGCAGGUUCAAAUCCUGCCCAUGGUG